GAUGAACGCUGGCGGCGUGCUUAACACGUGCAAGUCGAGCGAACGGACGAGAAUCUUGUUUUUCUGACGUUAGCGGCGGACGGGUGAGUAACACGUGGAUACCCUACCUAUAAUACUGGGAUAACCUCGGGACACCGGAGCUAAUACCGGAUAAUAUUCUGCACCGUAUGGUUCAAUAGUGAAAGACGGUCUUGCUGUCACUUCUAGAUGGAUACGCGCUGCAUUAGCUUGUUGGUAAGGUAACGGCUUAUCAAGGCAACGAUGCAUAGCCGACCGGAGAGGGGGAUCGGCCACACGAGAGCUGAGACGCGGUCCAGACUCCUACGGGAGGCAGCAGUAGGGUAUCGUACGCAGUGGGCGAAAGCCUGGCGGAACAACGCCGCGUGAGUGAUAAAGGUCUUCGGAUCGGAAAGCUCUGUUAUUAGGGAAGAACAUAUGUGUAAGUAACUGAGCACAGCUUGACGGUACCUAAUCAGAAAGCCACGGCUAACUACGUG
RNAcentral lists this ribosomal RNA (497 nucleotides) under uncultured bacterium. RNAcentral describes it as "partial 16S ribosomal RNA". It matches the Rfam family "Bacterial small subunit ribosomal RNA", at positions 28 to 507 of the family's 1533-position model. The record is from RNAcentral.